RNAcentral lists this ribosomal RNA (255 nucleotides) under uncultured bacterium. RNAcentral's name for it is "partial 16S ribosomal RNA". It matches the Rfam family "Bacterial small subunit ribosomal RNA", at positions 524 to 776 of the family's 1533-position model. The record is from RNAcentral.
UACAGAGGUCCCAAGCGUUGUUCGGAUUCACUGGGCGUAAAGGGUGCGUAGGUGGUUAGGUAAGUCCGAUGUGAAAUCUCCAGGCUCAACCUGGAAAUGGCAUUGGAUACUAUUUAGCUUGAGGAGUGGAGGGGGGACUGGAAUUCUCGGUGUAGCAGUGAAAUGCGUAGAUAUCGAGAGGAACACCGGUGGCGAAGGCGGGUCUCUGGGCAGUAACUGACGCUGAGGAGCGAAAAGCGUGGGGGAGCGAACAGG